UCUACCAGGAUUCUUGAAUUUCCGUGUCCAACGUUUGACCGUCUGUUUUAUAUAAAAAAAAUUUAUUAUUAGUAUUUUCAUUAUUGUUAGAAGAUAAAACAUAAAUAAUACUUUAUGCAUGACUUAUCUUUUAAAAAAAUUUUAUAAUUUUUUUAAAUAAGACGGACGGUCACGAAAACCCAGAAAUUGAG
This 191-nucleotide microRNA precursor is filed under the name Oryza nivara. RNAcentral's name for it is "MIR812 microRNA precursor family". It matches the Rfam family "MIR812 microRNA precursor family". Lineage: Eukaryota; Viridiplantae; Streptophyta; Magnoliopsida; Poales; Poaceae. The record is from Rfam by way of RNAcentral.